This 384-nucleotide long non-coding RNA is filed under the name Pan troglodytes (chimpanzee). RNAcentral describes it as "long non-coding RNA NONPTRT000455". Lineage: Eukaryota; Metazoa; Chordata; Mammalia; Primates; Hominidae. The record is from RNAcentral.
CGGCAGGGGCUCUGGAGUCCUCGUUGGAUCGAAAAUUCCAGUCGGUAACCAACACCAUGGAGUCCAUUCAAGGCUUGUCGUCUUGGUGUAUAGAGAACAAAAAACACCACAGUACUAUCGUCUAUCAUUGGAUGAAGUGGCUCCGGAGAUCUGCAUAUCCCCACCGUUUGAAUCUCUUUUACCUUGCCAAUGAUGUCAUACAGAACUGUAAAAGGAAAAAUGCAAUCAUAUUCCGUGAAUCAUUUGCUGAUGUACUUCCUGAAGCAGCUGCUCUAGUGAAGGAUCCAUCUGUCUCUAAGUCUGUAGAACGAAUCUUUAAAAUCUGGGAAGAUAGAAAUGUAUACCCAGAAGAAAUGAUUGUGGCAUUGAGAGAAGCUUUGAGUA